UGAAUUGCUGUAAAAAUUACAGCAAUAUUUUACAGCCGCUGGCUGUAUUUUGAUAAUACAGCAUAUUGCUGUAAACUGCAAUGCAUUCCGGGGGCGUGGCGGUUUAAAUCAAAUUUACAGAAUAUUGCUGUAAAUUUCAAAUAUACAGAGGCAUUGUGGGAUCUUCAACGGUCGAGAUUCGUGUAGCAGCAAGAGGAUUGACUUACAACUGUGGUAUUUAUCCGGAGAGAGGAACAAAGACGAAAGGAAAAGUGCCAUCUAACAAGCCAGACAGUUCAGAAGAAACGGGUUGCGGUCAACCUACAUGUUGCCACUCUUCAGUGCAAAGUGAUAGAUUUUCAGUGGAAUUUCUGAAAUCCUCUCUUUGAAUCCUGGGAUGGAACAUCAUCUGGAGCAUUUUUGAUCACAAGUUUGUUGGACUUGUUGUUUGGCCAUGUUGGUCUGUUCAUAAAGUGAUGAAAGUGAUCUGGUUUUUAAGAAAUGUUUUUAUAUGACCAUGUUGCUCAAGUUAUAGUUAUAACGCAGUUUGCAUAUUUCUUUGUGUGAAGGGCCAUGAUGGCCAAUAAGUAAUUUAAAAAUGUUUUCAUGACAAUUUUAUGUCCAUUUAAAAAAUAAAAUGAUUUUCUAAAUAAAAAAUAAAUUCGAAAUACACUUUUUAUGGCAUUUUUCAUGUAAAUUUGAAAGUUACAUAUUA
Molecule: long non-coding RNA, 694 nt
Organism: Megalobrama amblycephala (Wuchang bream)
Lineage: Eukaryota; Metazoa; Chordata; Actinopteri; Cypriniformes; Xenocyprididae
Exons: 3
Source: RefSeq, a predicted model, not a curated record